Molecule: non-coding RNA, 602 nt
Organism: Pelobates cultripes (western spadefoot toad)
Lineage: Eukaryota; Metazoa; Chordata; Amphibia; Anura; Pelobatidae
Source: the annotation of a GenBank genome assembly
UCGAUCAAGUUUUAACCAGUGAAAUAAAAGGAAAAUCGUUUUAAGAAACUAAAAGACCGUGAGUGCUUGCCUCUUGUUCCCUAUAUCUGUAUGUAUAUAUAUAUAUAUAUAUAUAUAUAUAUAUAUUUUUUUUAUUAUUUUUUUUUUAUUGGGGUAGCCCCCAAAAUAUUGGGACAUAUAAAAAAAGACAACUCUGUUCCGCAGAGUAGCUGUUAACAUUAUAGUUGCGCAGGAACUUUGUUGAUUCUAGAACCUCGGGCAAAUCACACAUCCCCGUGGUGGCGACUUUGCAUGCGGAUGUCAUCCAUAUCAACAUUCGAUGCCAGUUUCUGUGCCUACCAUGGUGACCACGGGUAACGGGGAACCAGGGUUUCAUUCCGUACCGGGACCCUGAGAAAUGGCUACCACAUGCAAGGAAGGCAGCAGGCGCGAAAGUUACCCACUCCCGACGCGGGAAGGUAGUGAUGACAAAUAACAAUACAGGACUCUUUAGAGGCCCUGUAAUUGUAAUGAGUCCACUUGAAAUCCUUUAACUCUGAUCAAUUGGAGGGAAGUCUGGUGCAGAGCCACUGACCCGUGCGUGCUGCAGCUGAAACUCCACU